GUACCCUCAAGCUUUGCUUGGUGUUGGGCGUCUUGUCUCCAGUUCGCUGGAGACUCGCCUUAAAGUAAUUGGCAGCCGGCCUACUGGUUUCGGAGCGCAGCACAAGUCGCGCUCUCUUCCAGCUAAGGUCAGCAUCCACAAAGCCUUUUUUCAAC
This 155-nucleotide unclassified non-coding RNA is filed under the name Alternaria aspera. RNAcentral describes it as "partial internal transcribed spacer 2". Lineage: Eukaryota; Fungi; Ascomycota; Dothideomycetes; Pleosporales; Pleosporaceae. The record is from RNAcentral.